Molecule: long non-coding RNA, 295 nt
Organism: Pyrgilauda ruficollis (rufous-necked snowfinch)
Lineage: Eukaryota; Metazoa; Chordata; Aves; Passeriformes; Passeridae
Exons: 3
Source: RefSeq, a predicted model, not a curated record
AACAGCAAGUGGCAAUAGGGAAGUGGAGCUUAGAAGAGAGAGGAAAGCUGUGAGCAAGAAUAUCCUGAGUUCACCUGGAAGAACAGCCAGAGGCAGCAGCUGCAGGUUUGUCCCAGCUCAAGCAAACCCUGUCUGAAAUUCAGCAGCCCCACCAAGGCAAACACUGAAGAAACAUGUUGUGAACAUGCCUGGUUCUUUCAGGUGGAAGGAGAUUCAUCCUAGGAUGUUCCUGAAGACUUGUGAGAUGUCACAUUAUAUAGCAUUUUGUGGGGACUGGAGAAUGUCACUUUGACAA